GGCACUUCCGCUUCCGGUUCAACUUGGCCCGUCCUUAGAUUUCCGCUUCCGGCCUCACGCUCACUCUGACAGUUACAGAUUCUUGCGUUUGGUAACCGAAGCUGGGUAACGGCUGGGCAACGGCUGCACACCCAUCCAGAGGGGCCAGCAUUUCCAGUUUGCUUGAAAUGGGAUCAUCUAGACAUGCUUCUCACCAGCUUUUUCCCCUCAAGCCAGUGGCUGCUAUGUGUGUGGAUACCAUCGUUGUUUCUUCAGUAAAUACCAUCGGAUCCCCACACACUCCAUUGUUUUAAGUGUUGUGGAUACGAAUUACGUGAAGCACAUCAUGUGCAUUUCACUUGGCAGGUUGAAUAAAGGGUGAGCAAGAAAAGAAAAUACGUGAUACGCUAGGUUUUGGUGAAUACACCGGGGAAAAGGUAGACACAGUGGAAGGACACGAGAAUCCCUUGAAAGUAGCAUAACCCCGAACUGAUUGCGUUUUUUCUGUAGAAAGCCCUUAGAAUUAGGUUUACUCCUACACAGUUUACGUACUGAUUGCUCCCCCCUACACACACCUUUUUUUGUUUGUUUGCUCUUUGAGGCAAGGGUCUUACUGUGUAGUCCGGGCAGACCUGGAACUAACUGUGUGGCCAGGCUGCCCUCAAACUCGUGAUCCUUCUGCUUCACCCCCGGAGUGCUAGGAUUACAGGCGCCCACCCUCGAGGCUGGCUUAUUUAUUUCCUCUCUAAAUAUUCUUUUAUAAGAUUUUGGUAUGAAAUUAAGAAUUUUGUAAGAAUUUUAUGGAACUCUGGAUGCAAAGGGCUCCCUUCUAGCUGUGAGUCAGAUGUGACGAUGUUCGCAUUUCCCCCAUUUCCUUUAUAUUCGUACUCUUUAUAUGUAUACCAUUAAUUCCUUUUGCCUCCUCGAGAGUAAGUUGAGGAUAUUAUGUUCAUUAGCCCCACCCCCCCAAAGAACCUCGAGUAUGGAUUUCAUAAUAAAAAGGUCAUUUUCUUGCAGUAAUGACUACAGUUGGGAAAUCUCACUUUCCAGUGCUGUCGUCUAAUACAACAUCCUUGUGCACAUUUUGUUGAUUUUCACAUCUUCCAUAGCUGUUUUUUUUUCACCUUCCAGGAUCCAAUCCAGGAUUGUCUUGCGUUUAGUUGACAUAUCCCUAUAGUAUCUGAUCCGGAACAGUUUUUCAUUCUUUGUUCUUUGUGAUCUUGACAUUUUUGAACCAGGAAGGCCAGGUGUUCUGUGAGUUGCUCAGAAUGUCUCUGAAGUUGGUAUUUCUCCAGGCGAAUUGCAAGUUUGAUGUAUGUAUGUAUACUUAGCAGCAUGUGUAAAUGUGUAGGCAUAUUUGUUAACCUGUGGGAAAGAUACUGCUACACAGGUGUAUACUGAA
Molecule: long non-coding RNA, 1381 nt
Organism: Fukomys damarensis (Damara mole-rat)
Lineage: Eukaryota; Metazoa; Chordata; Mammalia; Rodentia; Bathyergidae
Exons: 3
Source: RefSeq, a predicted model, not a curated record